This 253-nucleotide ribosomal RNA is filed under the name uncultured bacterium. RNAcentral describes it as "partial 16S ribosomal RNA". It matches the Rfam family "Bacterial small subunit ribosomal RNA", at positions 524 to 776 of the family's 1533-position model. The record is from RNAcentral.
UACGUGGGGGGCAAGCGUUGCUCGGAAUUACUGGGCGUAAAGGGCUCGUAGGUGGCCAACUAAGUCAGACGUGAAAUCCCCAGGCUCAACUUGGGAACUGCGUCUGAUACUGGAUGGCUUGAAUUCGGGAGAGGGAUGCAGAAUUCCAGGUGUAGCGGUGAAAUGCGUAGAUAUCUGGAGGAAUACCGGUGGCGAAGGCGGCAUCCUGGACCGAGAUUGACACUGAUGAGCGAAAGCUAGGGGAGCAAACGGG